CGUUUGAGAGGAUGAUCAGUCACACUGGAACUGAGACACGGUCCAGACUCCUACGGGAGGCAGCAGUGGGGAAUAUUGCACAAUGGAGGAAACUCUGAUGCAGCAACGCCGCGUGGAGGAUGACACAUUUCGGUGCGUAAACUCCUUUUAUAUAAGAAGAUAAUGUCGGUAUUAUAUGAAUAAGCUCCGGCUAACUCCGUGCCAGCAGCCGCGGUAAUACGGGGGGAGCAAGCGUUACUCGGAAUCACUGGGCGUAAAGAGCAUGUAGGCUGGUAGAAAAGUUGGAAGUGAAAUCCUGUGGCUUAACCAUAGAACUGCUUCCAAAACUCUCUACCUAGAAUAUGGGAGAGGUAGAUGGAAUUUCUGGUGUAGGGGUAAAAUCCGUAGAGAUCAGAAGGAAUACCGAUUGCGAAGGCGAUCUACUGGAACAUUAUUGACGCUGAGAUGCGAAAGCGUGGGGAGCAAACAGGAUUAGAUACCCUGGUAGUCCACGCCCUAAACGAUGCACACUAGUUGUUGCUAUACUAGAUAUAGCAGUAAUGCAGUUAACACAGUAAGUGUGCCGCCUGGGGAGUACGGUCGCAAGAUUAAAACUCAAAGGAAUAGACGGGGACCCGCACAAGCGGUGGAGCAUGUGGUUUAAUUCGACAUACGCGAAGAACCUUACCUGGCCUUGACAUAAAGAGAACUUACUAGAGAUAGUUUGGUGCUAGCUUGCUAGAACUCUUAUACAGGUGCUGCACGGCUGUCGUCAGCUCGUGUCGUGAGAUGUUGGGUUAAGUCCCGCAACGAGCGCAACCCUCGUGUUUAGUUACUAACAGUUCGGCUGAGGACUCUAGACAGACUGCCUUCGUAAGGAGGAGGAAGGUGAGGACGACGUCAAGUCAUCAUGGCCCUUACGGCCAGGGCUACACACGUGCUACAAUGGGGCAUACAAAGAGCAGCGAUACCGCGAGGUGGAGCAAAUCUCAUAAAAUGCCUCCCAGUUCGGAUAGCAGUCUGCAACUCGACUGCUUGAAGUUGGAAUCGCUAGUAAUCGUAGAUCAGCAAUGCUACGGUGAAUACGUUCCCGGGUCUUGUACUCACCGCCCGUCACACCAUGGGAGUUGAUUUCAUUCGAAGCGGGGAUGCUAAAGUAGCUACCUUCCACAGUGGAAUUAGCGACUAGGGUGAAGUCGUAACAAGGUAACCGUAGGAGAACCUGCGGUUG
This 1210-nucleotide ribosomal RNA is filed under the name metagenome. RNAcentral's name for it is "bacterial SSU rRNA". It matches the Rfam family "Bacterial small subunit ribosomal RNA", at positions 289 to 1520 of the family's 1533-position model. The record is from RNAcentral.